CCCUUAGAUGUUCUGGGCCGCACGCGCGCUACACUGACGAAUGCAACGAGCUUAUAACCUUGGCCGAAAGGUCUGGGUAAUCUCCAAAUUUCGUCGUGAUGGGGAUAGAUUAUUGCAAUUAUUAUUCUUCAACGAGGAAUGCCUAGUAAGCGCAAGUCAUCAGCUUGCGUUGAUUACGUCCCUGCCCUUUGUACACACCGCCCGUCGCUCCUACCGAUUGAAUGGUCCGGUGAAGCGUUCGGACCGUGGCCUUUGGACGGUUCGCCGUCUGUUGGCUGCGGGAAGUUCGUUAAACCUUAUCAUUUAGAGGAAGGAGAAGUCGUAACA
This 327-nucleotide ribosomal RNA is filed under the name uncultured eukaryote. RNAcentral's name for it is "partial 18S ribosomal RNA". It matches the Rfam family "Eukaryotic small subunit ribosomal RNA", at positions 1470 to 1796 of the family's 1831-position model. The record is from RNAcentral.